AUGGGAGCAGCUUCCUCCGACACCACGGCGGCCAGUUUGUUGUUCGUUUUGUUGGUUGGCUGUGGUAAUCGAUGGUUCUGUCAUUCGGCUAUGAUUAUCUCAAAAGUCUUUUUCCAGUUGAUUUUGGCAUGGCAAUGAAUUGAAUGCUUCGUACCAAUGCCAAACACAGCUGGACAUAUACUCUCCUGGGCGGGCACAGAGGUUAGCGGCUGCUAUCGGGAUUUCAGAAGGGAUUCAGCCCAAACAACCUUAAAAUAAAUAACUGAUGCUUUGUUGGAUCAAAGUUUUAGGGUGAAGAUCAGUGGCUACAUUCUUCCUUUGCAAGCAGAAUCUAAGGUAGCUGGACAUUCGAUCACCAAAUCAAGUGAAACUCUUAGCAAAAGGUUUGACAUUCAGGAUAAUGAUCAUGACCAUGUAUAUGACUUGGGAGCUAUCAUGCUAGAAUCGCUCUUGACCACAUUUCGAAAGCCCUAAUGGCUUUCGCGCAACGCGUGCGUAUUGAAAAAUACUAGUUGCAUACAAAGGGUAGCUUGUAAACAAGAUUUUAAUAAAGAAACAAUGA
This 562-nucleotide long non-coding RNA is filed under the name Helianthus annuus (common sunflower). Lineage: Eukaryota; Viridiplantae; Streptophyta; Magnoliopsida; Asterales; Asteraceae. The record is from RNAcentral.